UGCCUCGUGGUGUAAUGGUAGCACAACUGACUCUGGAUCAGUUUGUCUAGGUUCGAGUCCUAGCGAGGCAGCCA
Molecule: transfer RNA, 74 nt
Filed under: Pseudomonadota bacterium
Lineage: Bacteria; Pseudomonadati; Pseudomonadota
Also listed under: 4 other names
Description: tRNA-Gln
Rfam family: tRNA
About the family: Transfer RNA (tRNA) molecules are approximately 80 nucleotides in length. Their secondary structure includes four short double-helical elements and three loops (D, anti-codon, and T loops).
Source: RNAcentral